GCCUAAAGCGUCCGUAGCCGGCUAUGUUAGUUUUCGGUUAAAUCCAUGUGCUUAACAUAUGGGCUGUCGAGAAUACUGCAUAGCUAGGGAGUGGGAGAGGUAGACGGUACUCGGUAGGAAGGGGUAAAAUCCUUUGAUCUAUCGAUGACCACCAGUGGCGAAGGCGGUCUACCAGAACACGUCCGACGGUGAGGGAUGAAAGCUGGGGGAGCAAACCGGAUUAGAUACCCGGGUAGUCCCAGCUGUAAACUAUGCAAACUCAGUGAUGCAUUGGCUUGUGGCCAGUGCAGUGCCGCAGAGAAGUCGUUAAGUUUGCCGCCUGGGAAGUACGUACGCAAGUAUGAAACUUAAAGGAAUUGGCGGGGGAGCACCACAAGGGGUGAAGCCUGCGGUUCAAUUGGAGUCAACGCCAGAAAUCUUACCCGGAGAGACAGCAGAAUGAAGGUCAAGCUGAAGACUUUACCAGACAAGCUGAGAAGUGGCGCAUGGCCGUCGCCAGCUCGUGCCGUGAGGUGUCCUGUUAAGUCAGGUAACGAGCGAGAUUCCUGCCUCUAGUUGCCACCAUUACUCCCAGGAGUAGUGGGGCGAAUUAGCGGGACUGCCGCAGUUAAUGCGGAGGAAGGAGGGGGCCACGGCAGGUCAGUAUGCCCCGAA
RNAcentral lists this ribosomal RNA (654 nucleotides) under uncultured archaeon. RNAcentral's name for it is "bacterial SSU rRNA". It matches the Rfam family "Archaeal small subunit ribosomal RNA", at positions 508 to 1160 of the family's 1478-position model. The record is from RNAcentral.